GACGAACGCUGGCGGCGUGCUUAACACAUGCAAGUCGAACGGAAAGGCCCUGCUUUUGUGGGGUGCUCGAGUGGCGAACGGGUGAGUAACACGUGAGUAACCUGCCCUUGACUUUGGGAUAACUUCAGGAAACUGGGGCUAAUACCGGAUAGGAGCUCCUGCUGCAUGGUGGGGGUUGGAAAGUUUCGGCGGUUGGGGAUGGACUCGCGGCUUAUCAGCUUGUUGGUGGGGUAGUGGCUUACCAAGGCUUUGACGGGUAGCCGGCCUGAGAGGGUGACCGGCCACAUUGGGACUGAGAUACGGCCCAGACUCCUACGGGAGGCAGCAGUGGGGAAUAUUGCACAAUGGGCGGAAGGCUGAUGCAGCAACGCCGCGUGCGGGAUGACGGCCUUCGGGUUGGAAACCGCUUUCGCCUGUGACGAAGCGUGAGUGACGGUAAUGGGUAAAGAAGCACCGGCUAACUACGUG
This 468-nucleotide ribosomal RNA is filed under the name uncultured bacterium. RNAcentral's name for it is "partial 16S ribosomal RNA". It matches the Rfam family "Bacterial small subunit ribosomal RNA", at positions 28 to 507 of the family's 1533-position model. The record is from RNAcentral.